UGAAUACCUUUCUCUUGUCGAUGCUACUCUU
This 31-nucleotide non-coding RNA is filed under the name Homo sapiens (human). Lineage: Eukaryota; Metazoa; Chordata; Mammalia; Primates; Hominidae. The record is from RNAcentral.